This 987-nucleotide ribosomal RNA is filed under the name Triticum aestivum (bread wheat). RNAcentral describes it as "partial small subunit ribosomal RNA". Lineage: Eukaryota; Viridiplantae; Streptophyta; Magnoliopsida; Poales; Poaceae. The record is from RNAcentral.
AUGGCGUCCAAGCAGAUGGAGGAGAUCCAGCGGAAGCUGGCGGUGCUGGCCUACCCGCGCGCCAGCGCGCCUGCGCAGUCCCUCCUCUUCGCCGGCGUCGAGCGCUACCGCCUCCUCGAGUGGCUCUUCUUCCGGCUGCUGGGCGACAGAUCGCCAUUCACGCAGCAGAACUGGCAGGGGGACAGCCUCGACCGCGACGAGGAGAACAGCAGGAUCCAACACUUGGCGGAGAUCGCGAAUUUCCUUGGUAUCACGCCUUCAGUCGACACUGAGGCGAUUCAGGGCAGAGGCAGCUACGACGAGCGGGUGGAGCUCCUCCGUCUAAUUGUUGACUUGGUGGAAGCUAGCUGCUAUGCCGACAAUCCAGAGUGGAGUGUUGAUGAGCAGUUGGCAAAGGACGUACAACUUGUAGAUUCCAUUGCAGAGAAACAGGCACAAAUAUUUUCAGAGGAGUGCAAGCUUUUUCCUGCAGAUGUCCAAAUACAAUCAAUUUACCCCCUGCCUGAUAUAGCAGAACUAGAGUUGAAGCUCUCUGAGUAUACCAAAAAGAUGUCAAAUCUGCAACAGAUGGUGCAGGAGCUAGCCUCAAAGUAUGACUAUAAUCCGAACGAAGACUAUGCCGAGACAGAGUUGAAGUUGAGGGAACAUUUGCAAUCGUUUCUUGAAACAGUAAAAUCCUUCAAUAUGAUAUACACUAAGGAAAUUCAUCCUUGGACCCACAUGAUGGAGGUGCCACAGUUGCAUGGGUUUGGUCCAGCUGCUAACCGCUUGUUAGAGGCUUAUAACACACUUUUAAAGUUCCUUGGAAAUUUGAGGAGCCUGCGAGAUUCAUAUACAGCAAUGGCAGCUGGCUCACUUUCAAAUUCAAGCGAGCCUUCAUCCGUCACAAAAAUCAUUUCAGACUGUGAAUCCGCGCUCACGUUCUUAAACAACAGCCUUGCCAUCCUUUCAACUUCCGUGGCACGGGAGCAGGGUGAAACGCUAUGA